Molecule: ribosomal RNA, 282 nt
Filed under: uncultured bacterium
Lineage: Bacteria
Description: partial 16S ribosomal RNA
Rfam family: Bacterial small subunit ribosomal RNA
Source: RNAcentral
AAUCAACGCUGGCGGCGUGCCUCAGACAUGCAAGUCGAACGCGAAAGUCCCCUUCGGGGGACAAGUAGAGUGGCGCACGGGUGAGUAACACGUAGGUAAUCUACCUUCGGAUGGGGAAUAACAACCGGAAACGGUUGCUAAUACCGCAUAAUGCAGCGGCACCUAAUGGUGACAGUUGUUAAAGCGGGGGAUCGAAAGACCUCGCGUCUGAAGAGGAGCCUGCGGCGGAUUAGCUAGNGGUAGGGUAACGGCCUACCAAGGCGACGAUCCGUAACUGGUCGU